UACAGAGGGGGCAAGCGUUAUUCGGAAUUAUUGGGCGUAAAGGGCGCGUAGGCGGCUUGGCAAGUGGAUGGUGAAAUCCCUCGGCUUAACCGAGGAACUGCCGUCCAAACUGCUUCGCUUGAGUCCGGGAGAGGUGAGUGGAAUUCCCAGUGUAGCGGUGAAAUGCGUAGAUAUUGGGAGGAACACCAGUGGCGAAGGCGGCUCACUGGACCGGUACUGACGCUGAUGCGCGAAAGCGUGGGGAGCAAACGGG
This 253-nucleotide ribosomal RNA is filed under the name uncultured bacterium. RNAcentral describes it as "partial 16S ribosomal RNA". It matches the Rfam family "Bacterial small subunit ribosomal RNA", at positions 524 to 776 of the family's 1533-position model. The record is from RNAcentral.